Molecule: ribosomal RNA, 269 nt
Filed under: uncultured bacterium
Lineage: Bacteria
Description: partial 16S ribosomal RNA
Rfam family: Bacterial small subunit ribosomal RNA
Source: RNAcentral
UACAGAGGUCUCAAGCGUUGUUCGGAUUCAUUGGGCGUAAAGGGCGCGUAGGUGGCCCGGUCAGUUCGUGGUGAAAGCGCGGGGCUCAACUCCGCGUCGGCCAUGGAUACUGCCGCGGCUGGAGCACUGUAGAGGCAGGCGGAAUUCCGGGUGUAGCGGUGGAAUGCGUAGAGAUCCGGAAGAACACCGGUGGCGAAGGCGGCCUGCUGGGCAGUGGGGGAGACCCCUCAAGCUGACACUGAGGCGCGACAGCGUGGGGAGCAAACAGG